Molecule: microRNA precursor, 60 nt
Organism: Hucho hucho (huchen)
Lineage: Eukaryota; Metazoa; Chordata; Actinopteri; Salmoniformes; Salmonidae
Source: Ensembl
UGUAAACAUCCUACACUCUCAGCGGUGCCCUCUUUCAGCCGGGAGUGGGAUGUUUGCGCU